This 749-nucleotide ribosomal RNA is filed under the name Catolechia wahlenbergii. RNAcentral's name for it is "mitochondrial SSU rRNA". It matches the Rfam family "Bacterial small subunit ribosomal RNA", at positions 348 to 1191 of the family's 1533-position model. Lineage: Eukaryota; Fungi; Ascomycota; Lecanoromycetes; Rhizocarpales; Rhizocarpaceae. The record is from RNAcentral.
CCAGCAACUUGGAAGAAUGAAUGGCAAUAGCCAGUUACAUUAGAACUUUUUUUUUGUGAAAUCGACUCUGUCGAAUAAAGUUCUGGGUGGAGUAUUGAUAAUGACAAUCUCUAUCUGUGUGUCUUGACCAAAUUACGUGCCAGCAGUCGCGGUAAUACGUAAAAGACUAGUGUUAUUCAUCUUUAAUAGGUUUAAAGGGUACUUAGACGGUAAAUCAAGCCAAGACAGAAACGGUACUAAUUUACUUGAGUAUUAUGUGAGGCGCAUAAGGUUGUAUUCUUGAGAGAAGAGAUGAAAUUCUAUCAUCCGUUGAGGUUACGGGUAAAGGCGAAAGCGACCAUCUAUGUAAAUACUGACGUUGAAGGACGAAGGCCUACGGUCAUUAACAGGAUUAGAUACCCAAGUAUUCGUGGCAGACAAUGAUGAAUGUCAUAGACUAGAGAUAAAUUUUAGUCUAUAAAUGAAAGUGUAAGCAUUCCACCUCAAGAGUAAUUUGGCAACAUUGGAACUGAAAUCAUUAGACCGUUUCUGAAACCAGUAGUGAAGUAUGUUAUUUAAUUUGAUGAUCCGCAAAAAACCUUACCACAAUUUGUAUAUAUAGAUAAUUUUUACAAGCGUUGCACGGCUGUCUUCAGUUAAUGUCGUGAGAUUUUGGUUAGUUCCAUUAAAUUAACGUAAACCCUUACUUUGUUUUUAUAUAAAGUAGUUCCCCCACACAAUGGAAUUGAAAAUAGGGACUAAGAUAAGUC